UGGGGAAUAUUGCACAAUGGGCGCAAGCCUGAUGCAGCCAUGCCGCGUGUAUGAAGAAGGCCUUCGGGUUGUAAAGUACUUUCAGCGGGGAGGAAGGGAGUAAAGUUAAUACCUUUGCUCAUUGACGUUACCCGCAGAAGAAGCACCGGCUAACUCCGUGCCAGCAGCCGCGGUAAUACGGAGGGUGCAAGCGUUAAUCGGAAUUACUGGGCGUAAAGCGCACGCAGGCGGUUUGUUAAGUCAGAUGUGAAAUCCCCGGGCUCAACCUGGGAACUGCAUCUGAUACUGGCAAGCUUGAGUCUCGUAGAGGGGGGUAGAAUUCCAGGUGUAGCGGCGAAAUGCGUAGAGAUCUGGAGGAAUACCGGUGGCGAAGGCGGCCCCCUGGACGAAGACUGACGCUCAGGUGCGAAAGCGUGGGGAGCAAACAGG
Molecule: ribosomal RNA, 429 nt
Filed under: Chloroflexota bacterium
Lineage: Bacteria; Bacillati; Chloroflexota
Also listed under: 1 other name
Description: Chloroflexi bacterium partial 16S ribosomal RNA
Rfam family: Bacterial small subunit ribosomal RNA
Source: RNAcentral